This is a long non-coding RNA of Cyprinodon tularosa, 165 nucleotides long. RefSeq lists it as uncharacterized. NCBI's taxonomy places the organism in Eukaryota, Metazoa, Chordata, Actinopteri, Cyprinodontiformes, Cyprinodontidae. The transcript has 3 exons. The record is from RefSeq and is a predicted model, not a curated record.
CAGGUCCCGGGUUCUAACGGGCUGCUACAGGUCCCGGGUUCUAACGGGUUCUGACCCGCUGCUACAGGUCCCGGGUUCUAACGGGUUCUGACCCGCUGCUACAGGUCCCGGGUUCUAACGGGCUGCUACAGGUCCCGGGUUCUAACGGGCUGCUACAGGUCCCGG